GCGCUGUGCAGAAAGAUUUUUUAAAAAGCCUCGUGGGGCAUAGCACCAUCGCUAAAUGCCUGGUACAUUUAAGAAGCCUGACUGCGGGAGAGGCCCUCUACAAAUGCUGUUACCUGGGAUCUGAGAACUAAUGCCAUUCUCCAUUUCAAGAUGCCUUUGCCGUUUUGACAGAUGCAAACUGACCCCUCUCGAGGCCACGACAGAAGGGGAAUCAUGACUGUUUGAAGCCUGGAAGACUGCCCUUAAUUAAGGAAA
This 255-nucleotide long non-coding RNA is filed under the name Panthera leo (lion). RNAcentral's name for it is "lncRNA (ENSPLOG00000009059.1)". The record is from RNAcentral. Lineage: Eukaryota; Metazoa; Chordata; Mammalia; Carnivora; Felidae.